RNAcentral lists this ribosomal RNA (377 nucleotides) under uncultured bacterium. RNAcentral's name for it is "bacterial SSU rRNA". It matches the Rfam family "Bacterial small subunit ribosomal RNA", at positions 790 to 1167 of the family's 1533-position model. The record is from RNAcentral.
GUAGUCCACGCCGUAAACGAUGGGUACUAGAUGUUGCGGGAAUUGACCCCUGCAGUGUCGAAGCUAACGCAUUAAGUACCCCGCCUGGGAAGUACGGCCGCAAGGUUAAAACUCAAAGGAAUUGACGGGGGCCCGCACAAGCGGUGGAGCAUGUGGUUUAAUUCGAUGCAACGCGAAGAACCUUACCUGGGUUUGACAUCCUCUGACAGCUCUAGAGAUAGAGUCUUGUAGCAAUACACAGAGAGACAGGUGCUGCAUGGCUGUCGUCAGCUCGUAUCGUGAGAUGUCGGGUUAAGUCCCUUAACGAGCGCAACCCUUGUCCUUAGUUGCCACCAUUUAGUUGGGCACUCUAAGGAGACUGCCGGUGUUAAACCGGA